GAUUCGGUAGCUCAAUCUGGUUGCAGCGGCAGGCUCUUAACCUGUGUCUUAUGUGGGUUCAAAUCCCACCCGAAUCAC
This 78-nucleotide transfer RNA is filed under the name Streptomyces phage Wofford. RNAcentral describes it as "tRNA-Lys". It matches the Rfam family "tRNA". From Rfam's summary of the family: Transfer RNA (tRNA) molecules are approximately 80 nucleotides in length. Their secondary structure includes four short double-helical elements and three loops (D, anti-codon, and T loops). The record is from RNAcentral. Lineage: Duplodnaviria; Heunggongvirae; Uroviricota; Caudoviricetes; Stanwilliamsviridae.